UGAAAAUCUCUAGUCUAAGGAGUCAUUAACAUUAUAGUUUCACAAUUAGACGGGGCUUUCCAUGUUUUUACAGGACUGUCCAACUGAAGCAUUAUAUCAUACAUACGUGUCGGUUUGAACUACAUCACGUCUUUAAGGACAUGAUUAGAUCGAGCAAUAUUUUGCGAAAUUUAACCCUUAAUUAUCGGUUGGAUUAUUUUUUGUUUACUUUUCAUGUUAAGUGUUGUUUUAACCAUUCUAAAAAUAUGAUAUAUAUGAUAUAAUUCUAUAACUAUAUGAUUUUUUUAAUAUAAAUAAAAUUUUACAGCAUGAAAAACACAAUGGUUUACUAAGGCUUGACAUGGUUUUGAGAUUUGAGGUUAUUGUCAUGUGAGUACUUACACCAUUUUGAACCUCGAUUAUAAUGUAUAUAAACUAAUUAAAGUGGUAUUUUGGUAAAUCUAUUCAUUUUUUAUUUAUAUUUUGUUAGUAAUACAGUAUAAUUAAUAAUUUUUUAUUAGAAUGAAGAAUUCAUUAAACCAGACUGAGCAAACGGUCUGGCCUAUUGAUUUUUUGACUGGACUGGGCUUUUUGGGUUCGAGUGACAUGAAAAGCUGAAGACAAAUACUUACAUAAUGUCCAGCCCCAAGAAUCCAAUAGAAUGCAAAGUUCUGAUAUGACUUGUAGAAACCUUUGGU
RNAcentral lists this long non-coding RNA (677 nucleotides) under Lactuca sativa (garden lettuce). RNAcentral describes it as "long non-coding RNA (LSAT_LNC009962)". Lineage: Eukaryota; Viridiplantae; Streptophyta; Magnoliopsida; Asterales; Asteraceae. The record is from RNAcentral.